UCACUCUGAGGAGAGGAAAACAAAGAGGGAAGUGGUGAAACUGCAGGCAUCUGCACCAGGAUGAAGGUGAGCAGCCAGUAUAGGCACGGGUGAGAAGCUCCUAAUGCAAUCUGAAGCUACAGGUAAUCUCACGAGCACUCCUCCUUCUAAAUAAAAUCUUCAAACUUCAUUUUGCAACAGCCCAGGCUAUACUGGAAUGGCUCAAUUUGCAGCAAUGGAAGCCCUUGAAGGCAGAGCCAGGUCUUCCUGGUUCUGCUUUUUACCAGUCUACCUGUGCACCCUUGGAAAAGAAACCUGCUUUCAGGUCUGAGCCUGAUUUUAUGUAGAUCCAUAGGUCUGCAUAAAGGGGUCUUGAGAGCAAGACCUCCUUUUUCUGACUGCACACCUGCUCUCUCUAGGAUUGGUUACAGACACACACUCCCCACAGCUCCAUUUUGGGCCAGAGCUGAGGCAUGAACAAAAGAAAACUCUGUGAUAUUGCUUGUUCCUUCUGGUCUUCCAUGGAUGAGAAAAAGGGUAAAAAAAAGAAAUUAAAAAAGCCCUCACAAGGUGAAUAAACCCACACAAGCUAAGCCUUUCCUCCAUUAUCCCAGGACUGAUGGUGCUUCCAAAUGCAAGACACAUCAUUCUGAAAACUGUGAGCUCUGCUGAAGGGGAAGUGGAAUGCAGCACACUCAUCUCUCCCACACCUCUGCACCCUCCUUCUCACACAAUCUGGGGGUUUGAUAGUGUGCUGUGUUUUUGGUCUAACAGGAAACCCAGGCUGGAUGGUGCUGCCCCAAGGCCAGCUGGCCAUGGGAAUGUGAGUCAUUUCCUCCUGCAGAGAGGUAGCUCAGCCAUCACGAGGCAGCUCUCAGAUCACAGGGGCAUGUGUUGUUACCCUGGUUGCUGCUAAUGGCUCAUCGAACCACUGAUGCAGAGCUGGAGGGAAGGGAUAGAGGAGGAUGACAAUAUGCCUGCUCCUGUGUGUGGGGGACAUUCUACUCUUGUCCCUCACCGCCAAUCACCCCUUUGCUGUGCUGAAGGGAAACCACAGAGCUGCUGCUGAAGGCUGCUGCACCCCGUGUACCUCUCACCUGGCACACAGACCGGACAAUUCCUCUGAGUUCCUUCUCUAGGGUGAAAAGGCACAAAGCCAAGACACAGGUUUAGCCAUGGGAGACCUAAAUGAGGCAACCUACCCUGCAGGAACAGCUUUCACUGAGAGGCUGAGUGCUCCUGAAGAGCUGCCUUCCCUGGGGUCCCCCUGGAGCUGGAGGGAAGGAUGUGCAUCCUCAGGGCCUCAAAGCACCGGAAUGCACGGGAUGGAGCUGGGCAGUGCUGGGCACAUCCACUCCCGUGGCUGGGCAGUUUACAUUCACCCACUGCUCCAGCCUGGCUGCAGCAGCAGGGGCUGAAAUCACACCCCAACCAACCUGCCAUGGCACAGACAUGCAGCAGCUGGGCAAAGCUGUCAUCAGAGGGGAGGGAGCCUCCAUUCCCUCCGUGGACCCAUCAGCCCGAGUGGGUCUGUGCAUGGAGAGCCCUGCUGCUGCAAUAAGCACCAUGUGUAACACCCUCUCCCUCUUAAAUACACAAAUUAGGCUGAAGAACAAACAGGUAGGGCAAACUGUUGUCCACAACUGUGCACCAAACUCCCUGACUAGGGUUACCUGGACUCUCACCUAUCCUGGCAUGUGGUCUCUCCACAAAUCCCUGCAUGAGGAGUUUCUGUGUGAAAGAGCAAGAUGAGCACAUAAAUAAUAAAGGAAAAACUCAAAUUACA
Long non-coding RNA from Parus major (Great Tit), 1765 nucleotides. RefSeq lists it as uncharacterized. NCBI's taxonomy places the organism in Eukaryota, Metazoa, Chordata, Aves, Passeriformes, Paridae. The record is from RefSeq and is a predicted model, not a curated record. The transcript is spliced from 2 exons.